Molecule: ribosomal RNA, 441 nt
Filed under: uncultured bacterium
Lineage: Bacteria
Description: bacterial SSU rRNA
Rfam family: Bacterial small subunit ribosomal RNA
Source: RNAcentral
UACGGAAGGCAGCAGUGGGGAAUAUUGCACAAUGGGCGCAAGCCUGAUGCAGCCAUGCCGCGUGUAUGAAAAAGGCCUUCGGGUUGUAAAGUACUUUCAGUCGUGAGGAAGGUGUUAAGGUUAAUAACCUUAGCAAUUGACGUUAGCGACAGAAGAAGCACCGGCUAACUCCGUGCCAGCAGCCGCGGUAAUACGGAGGGUGCGAGCGUUAAUCGGAAUUACUGGGCGUAAAGGGCACGCAGGCGGUUAAUUAAGUUGGAUGUGAAAUCCCCGGGCUUAACCUGGGAAUGGCAUUCAAGACUGGUUAGCUAGAGUCUUGUAGAGGGGGUAGAAUUCCAUGUGUAGCGGUGAAAUGCGUAGAGAUGUGGAGGAAUACCGGUGGCGAAGGCGGCCCCCUGGACAAAGGACUGACGCUCAUGUGCGAAAGCGUGGGGAGCAAAC